This is a long non-coding RNA of Armigeres subalbatus, 1951 nucleotides long. RefSeq lists it as uncharacterized. The record is from RefSeq and is a predicted model, not a curated record. The transcript is spliced from 4 exons. Lineage: Eukaryota; Metazoa; Arthropoda; Insecta; Diptera; Culicidae.
CCGGUCGUGUUUUCUGGUUUCCUCCUCUCUGGAAGAGUUGUCUGGAUGUGGGAAGAACAGCAAGAGCACUUCCUACUACCGCAGAUGUGGUUCGACGGCGAUUUUGUGAAUAAUCACAGUGUGCUCCCCUCUGGGGACUUGGACGGAUGGCUCUGAUGUAACUGGAGCUCUUGCAAGUUGCCGAUUUCUUUUCAGUCCGAAGAAUUACAUUAGCAUAAUGCGAUUCCUUCUGGAAAAACUUGGCUUUGCUUUGUUAGAAUCUCAUCAGUUGGCGAAGACAUUCAAGCUGCAUGGCAAAGUUCACAGUUUUGGGGGGUCGGCCAAACGGACCAAAGUGUGUUUUGUAGUGUGUUCCACCAGUAGUGACAAACGAAUCAGUCAAUCGCGAGGGCGCGAAACGAAACCGAACAGAACGCAGCAACGAGAGUUCAUACACGGCACAUUGCCUUCCAUAACCGAAACAGUGAGCGGAUCUUGUUGUGUGGAUUUUAUUUUCCUUUGUUCAGAAAAAGACGAAAAAACAGACCCCACAUUGCACGCCGAUGGUUUUGGGGGGCACCAGCAGGGCAGCAACAGCUGUGCCUGGAGCUUGGCGUGGCGCGGAGGCGUGCAACCAGUGAGUGCGACAACAAUCAGGCAACCAACCGAACCAAGCAGGAGAACACAAAGAGCCGGUUCGGUACAAUUUCACCGAAAGCCAUUUCACGGCAUAGUGCUAUAAAGUCAACAUGAAUUAAUGAUAUCAUUGCCUUCAAAGAUCAAAAGAAUGCUUUUUUGUUACAAGAGACAACCGCAAACUCACUGGCAACGUAGACCACUACAUUUAUGGAAACUCGUUCCACGUGAAUGUAACCGAAGAAUUCCCAGGAAGAGUACCCCAUAGCGCAGCAUCAGUUAAUUAUAAUACCAGAGGAGUUUUUCGCUGAUUCUGCAACUUCAAGAGCACCCACGACAUCGCCGGCGACCGAGACACGACAUCGACGAUGGUCUUCAAUAAUGUUUUGCUGAUGCCACUCUGCCGCUCUGGAAAGCGGGAUAGUGACGCAUCAUCAGCCCCAAGGAUCAUCUUCCUCUGCCCACCAAGUAGAUAUCUGGCCUUCUACUCUCGAAUAAGUGACCCUCCCCCCUUCAUCCUCCAGUACAGACGCAGUUGCGGAUGAUGAUGGAGGAAACAAUUCUCGACGAUGAUAGUAGAAUACUGACGAUUGUCACCCGUUUUCGCUGCGAUGUCGACGGAUGUUGCGGUGGCGGACGUGGAGAAUGGGGAUUGUCUCGUGACUUGGUGCCUUACUGUCGACGAAUGUGGGUAUGCUGCCGGCUGGGAAGUCGGCGUUGAUCAUUUCCAGGGAAAAUGAAGCUUUGUGUGGCAUGAAGUCAUGAAGGGAAUGCGAACUCGAUGGCUUCCAGUCUGCCGUUCAGCGAGAGAUGAAAGUUGCUGGAAAAACGAUUUAUUUGUCGUUUAAAGUUAGUUUUAAUAGUCGAGUUGUAACACGAUUGAAACAUUUAAGACCGAAUAUCAAACGUUGAACUAGAGUCAUAGCCUGAUCAUGAAGAAUGUUGCAUAUUCCCGUACGAACUCUUUGCCAAGGGAAUUAUAGUUAUAUGCUUGUUCACUGGUUCAGUGGAAAGAUUUAUUUUAAUAUGAGCUAUCGAAUGGUUUCUAUUGUAUGUAUACUGGACUGCAGCCAAGACAACAUCGACUCGGGAUUGGGCUAAUAAGAGAGUCAAUAAUCGUUUAUUUUCCCUCAAAGUGAAGAAAAAUGAACCCAUUUGGCAAAUUGUGAUCCGCUGGAAGUAUGAACCAUUUCGCUGCCUGCCAAGCAUUGAAAUUGAAUCUCGAUUACAAUAAUGAACUCCAAACGUUGGAGAUGUGUUAAAGCAUUGUCCUAAACUGUAUCUUGCGGCACAAUACAUAAGAUUGAUUAUUUUACUAAUAUCUAGGACAAUUCCA